GGCGGCGUGCGUAACAACAUGCAAGUCGAACGAGAGAGUGAGAGAAGCUUGCUUUUCUUACAAUCGAGUGGCAAACGGGUGAGUAAACGCGUAAACAACCUGCCCCGCAGAUGGGGACAACAGCUGGAAACGGCUGCUAAUACCGAAUACGGUCCUCUUAGCGCAUGGUAAGAGGAAGAAAGGGUGGCCUCUGGGAACAAGCUACCGCUGCGGGAGGGGUUUGCGUCUGAUUAGCUGGUUGGAGGGGUAACGGCCCACCAAGGUCGACGAUCAGUAGGCCGGUCUGAGAGGAGGAACGGCCACAUUGGAUACUGAGACACGGUCCAGACUCCUUCGGGAAGGCAGCAGUGGGAAUCUUCCCACAAUGGAGCGAAAGCCCUGACCGGAGCAAC
RNAcentral lists this ribosomal RNA (392 nucleotides) under Megasphaera geminata. RNAcentral's name for it is "bacterial SSU rRNA". It matches the Rfam family "Bacterial small subunit ribosomal RNA", at positions 38 to 395 of the family's 1533-position model. The record is from RNAcentral. Lineage: Bacteria; Bacillati; Bacillota; Negativicutes; Veillonellales; Veillonellaceae.